GCGAAGCGGGAAGAGCUCAAAUUUAUAAUCUGGCACCUUCGGUGUCCGAGUUGUAAUCUCUAGAAAUGUUUUCCGCGUUGGACCGCACACAAGUCUGUUGGAAUACAGCGGCAUAGUGGUGAGACCCCCGUAUAUGGUGCGGACGCCCAGCGCUUUGUGAUACAUUUUCGAAGAGUCGAGUUGUUUGGGAAUGCAGCUCAAAUUGGGUGGUAAAUUCCAUCUAAAGCUAAAUAUUGGCGAGAGACCGAUAGCGAACAAGUACCGUGAGGGAAAGAUGAAAAGCACUUUGGAAAGAGAGUUAACAGUACGUGAAAUUGUUGGAAGGGAAACGCUUGAAGUCAGACUUGCUUGCCGAGCAAUCGGUUUGCAGGCCAGCAUCAGUUUUCCGGGAUGGAUAAUGGUAGAGAGAAGGUAGCAGUUUCGGCUGUGUUAUAGCUCUCUGCUGGAUACAUCUUGGGGGACUGAGGAACGCAGUGUGCCUUUUGGCGGGGGUUUCGACCUCUUCACACUUAGGAUGCUGGUGGAAUGGCUUUAAACGACCCGUCUUGA
This 549-nucleotide ribosomal RNA is filed under the name Rhodotorula mucilaginosa. RNAcentral's name for it is "eukaryotic LSU rRNA". It matches the Rfam family "Eukaryotic large subunit ribosomal RNA", at positions 93 to 657 of the family's 3401-position model. The record is from RNAcentral. Lineage: Eukaryota; Fungi; Basidiomycota; Microbotryomycetes; Sporidiobolales; Sporidiobolaceae.